UGGGGAAUUGUUCGCAAUGGGCGCAAGCCUGAUCCAGCCAUGCCGCGUGAGUGAAGAAGGCCUUCGGGUUGUAAAGCUCUUUUACCAGGGACGAUAAUGACGGUACCUGGAGAAUAAGCCCCGGCAAACUUCGUGCCAGCAGCCGCGGUAAUACGAAGGGGGCUAGCGUUGUUCGGAAUUACUGGGCGUAAAGCGCACGUAGGCGGAUUGUUAAGUCAGAGGUGAAAUCCCGGAGCUCAACUUCGGAACUGCCUUUGAUACUGGCAAUCUAGAGUCCGGAAGAGGUUAGUGGAAUUCCCAGUGUAGAGGUGAAAUUCGUAGAUAUUGGGAAGAACACCAGUGGCGAAGGCGGCUAACUGGUCCGGUACUGACGCUGAGGUGCGAAAGCGUGGGGAGCAAACAGGAUUAGAUACCCAAGUAGUCCCUGAGCGGGCUGGCAAGGCGCAU
Molecule: ribosomal RNA, 447 nt
Filed under: uncultured bacterium
Lineage: Bacteria
Description: bacterial SSU rRNA
Rfam family: Bacterial small subunit ribosomal RNA
Source: RNAcentral